AAGGGGGGAGGAUGGCUUCACUUUCCCCUCUACUUUCCCAUGUACAAGGCAACGAUUUCUCAAGUCUGGACUUACCAUACAUGGGAAAGAAAUUAAUUUCUCAUCCCCAAGUCAUUUUUCCCAUAAACCAAACGGAGCCUACAGGUUAUAAGCUUCAACCUUUAAGGAUUUUCAUAACAAAUCUUGCAAUCUCAUACCAAGGAAAUAAAAAUAAAAAAAAGGAUCCAUGCGUGUAAUUUCUAGAUUAAAAUCUCACUUUUUACGCAUGCCAUUAUCUAAGGAUUAGGUAUGACUACACACGAACAAUCUUACAAUUAUCUGCAAUUCGUCCUUCAAUGGCCAAAGACGUUAUAUCAAAUGAACAAUAAGACGUACAUUUCUUCAAAGAACUAAAUUAUGUGGAUUUCAACUUGCUCUCACUUAUAUGUUUCUCUCUCUCCUCCUAUUGUUUAGCUUAAGGUUUUAGGGCGUGGUUGUCUAAGAACAAUAAGGUAAACAUGCUUACAAAAAAAGAUGGACAGCAAGGAUGGACAUAUGCGAAUGUGAGCUUUUACACAUUGCCACUAAUUUUCUCCAUGAUUUUGUUGAAAUCAUUAACAAAAUAAGAAACUUUAGUAAUUGAAGCGAAAGAGACUAAUUAUCAGAAGAGAAAAUAUGAAAAAAGAAGCUCCCAAUCCAAACUUUAAGUCACAAGUUUAACAGUUUACUUUAAAACAAAAGCAAGUUACGAAACAAUCCCCUGAUUUCCUUGUUAAACAUCAACCGACCCAUUAUUGAUGAGGAUUGAGAAUCUAAGAGCAUAUGGACGAUGGAUCUCUCUCUCUUUUUGAAAACAAAAACAAAAACAAAAAUCAACUUCAUUAUCCUUAGUGAAUUUGUUCGGGAUUAGUUGUGUUGAAUUAGUACAGCUUACUUACGCAAUCGAAUAUCAAACCUAGCUAGCUAAAAAGAGAAAAAGAAAGGCCACAACGACAGUACUGUAGUAUACGUGAAGAAUCUUAUGAUCUAUAAUAUUCUGUAUUAUUGGCCAUCAUUUUCAAUCCUUAUUAAAGAAAACUUGCUUCGCCAUAAUUUCAAGUUGUUCUGAAGGCAGGCAUAGAGAGCACGUAGCUUGGCAAGGGAGGUAAGGGCACUUCGAAAGAUUCCUUCUCAUCAUCUAUACAAGGAAAUGUGUUCUCAUCAAGCUACGGGACAAGGCAAAUUAGCAACCUUUAUACUCAGAUAUAUUAUUCCAAGCAGAUAAACAUGUAAAUAUAUGUGAAGAAUAUUAUGAUAAUGAUCAAUAUAGAAUCUGUAACAUUAUCAGAGGGGUAUCGAUCGACCAUCCAAAGAAAAGGAUAUCCUCUGCAUAUGUGCAUGCCAACAACUAUAAAAGGAGACCAUGAGGCAAUGAAUCAUCAAAGCAAAGACACAGAUAUCCCAACUAAAAAUCAAUCAGUGAGACAAUGGCUGGAACUGGAACCAAUGAUAUUAAAAUUAAAGGGUUCGAUUUGAGCAACAACAGCGGCAACACGUCGGGAUUAACCCACUUCGCCAACAGAGCUGAUGGGGGCGACAAGGGCGACAAUAAAAUCGAGGUUGAGGGUGCUAAAGCGCAAGAUAACAAGGGAAACUUGAAAGUACUUACCGAUUUCGCCCAACGCGGUGAAGUGGGCAGGUCGGAUCGCCAAGAACUUCUCAAGCCUCAGGCAUGAAAUUGAAGAAGGCCAUACCAUAUAUGUGCUGAAUUAUCUACACAAAAAUAAGAGCUGAUGUUUUAUCUGAGGCUCCUUCCUUGGUUAGGCCUCGUUAUCAUGUGUAAUAUUAAUAUUAUUAUUCUAAUAAAAUAAUGGCAGCUUAUUAUUAAAUAUAUCAAAAUUCUAUACGUAUAACUUUUAGAUUCUUGAGUGGGAAACCCUAGCUGCAUUCUGGUCCCUUUUCUUCUUGCCGACAACCAACCACAAGGAAACUAAAGGGGGAGGUGGCCACUGCCCCUCCCCCCCUUCGCCCAUCUUCCCUUUCUCUCCUCAUCUUCCCUUCUUUUUCUCCCAUCUUUUCCCUUCCUCUUAUGCCCUCUUCUCUUCCCAUUCCCUUUCCCAUAUAGUCUAGAUCUAUUUGGAUCUAGGUUUUGUUUGUUUGUUUGUUUGGUUUGGUUUGGUUGUUUUUGCAGUAUUCUAGGUGACUGGUAGUGACGUUGGAUUGUGUCUAUUAUCGGGAGAGUUGUGAUACCUAGUGGCUGAUGUUUUGUCUCUGUUUCAACGACGGCGGCAGUAGCGACACUAGUGAUAGUUAUUGGAUGUGGUGCUCUUCUUUAUUCUGCACUUACCGAAGAACUAUGCUUGGUCAUAGGAGGUUUUCUUUGUCAGAUUCUGAGUUGAAGUGGAGUGCUUCUUAGGGGUCCUUUUAUUGUUGCUUCUAUGUUCCUCCUCUGUGUUCUCUCCUGUUUUCUGUUAUGGUAUGCCUUGUAGUUUGUAUGGGUGUCAAAAUACUAUGAUUUUGCUCAUAGAAGGCUUCUUUUGACAGUUGGGAUAUUCUACGAUCCUCUUCUGUGGGUUUACUAUUUGGGGUUUCUGUCGUUCUCUCAUGUGGGUGUACUAUGUUGGUAUCUAGUUGAGGUUUUCGUCGGAGUUCUUUUUGUUAGUUUUCGUUUUUGAUUUGUUCUUUUAUUGUAAUGGUCCAAAGCGACCAGAAUUAAACUCUCUUGUUAGUCCAUGACAUGUGUGGUACUCUUUUCUCCCCGGGGUUUGUCCCUUGAGAUUGCCCUAGGAAGGUUUUAACGAGGCCACUAUAUCAUGUUGCUCAUUGUACGUCUUUGGUUCUAUUAAUUAAUUCUCUUUCUUAAAAAUAACAAAAAUAAAUAAAUAAAUAAAUAAAAAUUUAGAUUAUUGAUAACGAUGUCAACAAGAGAAAAUGAUUAAAAAGUCCUUUCUCCAAUUCGUGAUGUUACAAAAUGAGACUUCAAAUUGUAAAACUAUAGUUGGAUACGAGUAUAAAACUGAACCAGGCAAUGUAUGGGCCAGAGUGACCAAGGUUGUACGACAGUGAACUAAUGGCAAUUUCUCGUUGCAUGCACGCAUAUGCAAUUGAAGAAUGCCAUAAUAAUAUGUGUUUUUACUAAAUUAUCUACACUAAAAUAAAAACUGAGGCAUUAUCUGAGGCUCUUUCCUUGGCUAGGCCUCAUUUUCAAUUUUGAUUUCAACUUUGAUUUCGCUUAAACUUUGAUUUUGAGCUAGACUGUAAUUUCGACUUUGAUUCUGAUUCUCUCCCAAUUCAUGCCUUAAGAAUCAGUUUCUCCCAACUCUAUUUACCAAAACCAAAAACUCUAAACUUUUCAAUUCGUCUGGGUACUCUCAGAGUUUCAUGCCCUAGUUUCCUCUCGCCAAAAAGCCAAAAAGACUUGGCUUUCAUGUAAUGCUAUACUCCUCGAUUGAACAAGCUGCGUCUUCAAAUUCAACUUUCUCACUUCCCUUCUCUUUACUUUCUUUUCUUUUGUUUUCCAGCCCGGAAAAUCAUGGAAGCAUUACAAAUUUAAGAGAAUAUUCUAGUAUUAGGGUCCAAACUGUACUAUUUAGGUAUUUUCAUUCUGAUUAAGAGUUCUUUUCUAGAAAUUUGGUGAAGAAAAAAUAGAGUUUCUGUUUUAGUGUUUGAUUUUCAUUAUAGUGAGUUAUGUGAAAUCGAAAUGUUUCUUGUGUGAUUUCAUCACUGCUUUCAAAUUGCAAAUUAAGGAUUUGAAGGUUACAAAUUAUUAUGUAGAUAAUUUUUGGGAAUUUAAGAGGCAGUACAGUGUUUGUAUAAGUCUUGAGAUAGACCAAUUUACCACAUGCUCGAUUUCUAUAUAUAAAUUUUUUUAAAUCAUUCUUUUGUUUUAUUUAUUCUGUUAAUUUGUCAUAAUGUGUAAUAUGAUAGCUUCUAAUUCUUUCUUCCUAUUUCUUCUUUUUUGUUAUUCUCUCCCAAAUGAAAUGAAGACCUAACUUAUAUCAAGAAGAAGAGGAUGGAUCCUUACAUAUGAAGAUUUUAAAAUUAACAUUAUUGGAAGACAGUAGGAGUAUCGGCAAUUUGAUACAAGUAUCGGAGUAUCAAAUACGAGCAUGCCCGUCUUUAACAAUGUCUCAUUUCAAUUAGUACAAAAGAAAAAUAAAGGCAGAGUUCAAAAUAGAUUGUUCAGUUUCGAAAGUGACAUUGAGAUUUAAAAAGACUAGACAUUAAGAUGGCAAGAGAGAUCUAAAAGGAUCAAACAAAAAAAAUGAAUGAAAAAUUGAAAAUGCCCUAGAAAGGGAGGAAAUCUUAGUUGCAAUGGGGAUAACAGUAUUUUGCUAUCCUCGAUCAAUAAUUUUAUACCACGUGACCUAAGGAGGCAUGUCAAUCUAGCUCAUCUGGUCCACCGUCCAUGAUAUGAACUCGACUUGAGAGUUUUUUUUUUUUUUUUUUUUUUUUUUUGGGGUUGAAGUAGAACAACUAGACUUGAGAGUUGAUGUCACAUCUCAAGGUCGGUUCCACCGUAGCACGAUAUUGUCUGCUUUGGGCCCCCUCUUUGUCCUCGCGGUUUUGUUUUUAGGAGCUCACGAGCAACUUCCCAGUUGGUCACCCAUCUUGGGAUUGCUCUAGCCCAAACUCACUUAACUUCGGAGUUCUCAUGACUUCGAAAUCAGUGAGCUCCCAAAAGGCCUCGUGCUAAAAGGAGGUGGGCAUAUACAUAUAAGGCGCAACACCCCCUCUCCGUUAGUCGAUGUGGAAUGUUACAAUCCACCCCCUUUAGAGGUCCGACGUCCUCGUCGGCACAGUCUCACCACACGGCAGAGUGGCUCUAUGCCAAAUUGUCGCAUUCCGGGAUCGGCUCCGUCGUAACACGAUAUUGUCCGCGUUGGGUCAACCUCUCUGCCCUCACGAUUUUGUUUCUGGGAGCUUACGAGCAACUUCCCAGUAGAUCACUCAUCCAAACUCGCUUAACUUCGGAGUUCCCAUGACUCCGAAGCCAGUGAGCUCCCAAAAGACCUCGUGCUAAAUGGAGGUAGGCAUGUACAUAUAAGGCACAUCACCUCCGCUCCGUUGGUCGAUGUGGGAUGUUACAGUUGAGGGCUCCGUUGGUCGAUGUACGAUGUUACAGUUGAGGGCUCCGUUGGUCGAUGUAGGAUGUUAUAGUUGAGGCAGCCAAAAUAGAAGGGAAGCAACCCUACUCCACUCCCUCUCCCCAUGUGCCCAGUUCUCUACUCGUUUACUUCACCUUUUAAACCCCUUCGUACUUGAAGACCUGGCUGGCAAUUUGAUUGAAGCGAAAGAGACUAAUUAUCCAUGCUUUUGUUGAAAUCAUUAACAAAAUAAGAAACUUUAGUAAUUGAAGCGAAAGAGACUAAUUAUCAAAACAGAAAAUAUGAAAAAAGAAGCUCCCAAUCCGAACUUUAAGUCACAAGUUUAACAGUUUACUUUAAAACAAAAGCAAGUUACGAAACAAUCCCCUUAUUUACUUGUUAAACAUCAACCGACCCAUUAUUGAUGAGGAUUGAGAAUCUAAGAGCACAUGGACGAUGGAUCUCUCUCCCUUUUUGAAAACAAAAACAAAAACCAACUUCAUUAUCCUUAGUGAAUUUGUUCUGGAUUAGUUGUGUUGCAAUGGAACAUCGAACCUACCUAGCUAAAAGGAAAAAAGAAAGGCCACUACGACAGUACUGCAGUAUAUUAUUCCAAGAAGACAAAUGUAGACUAUAUACGUGAAGAAUAUCUAGUAUUGGUCGUCAUUUUCAAUCCUCAUAAAAGAAAACUUACUUCGCCAUAAUUUCAGGUUGUUCUCAAGGCAGGAAGGUAAGGACACUUGAAAAGAUUCCUUCUCAUCAUCUAUAUAAGGAAAUGUGUUCUCAUCAAGCUAGGGGACAAGGCAAAUUAGCAACCUUUAUACUCGAUAUAUUAUUCCAAGCAGAUAUACAUGUGAAGAAUAUUAUGAUCUUGAUCAAUAUGGAAUCUGUAUCAUGAUCAGUGGAUGUAUCGAUCGACCAUCCAAAGAAAAAGGAUAUCCUCUGCAUAUAUGUGUGCAUGCCAACAACUAUAAAAGGAGACCAUGAGGCAAUGAGUUGAUCAUCAAAGCAAACACACAGAAAUCCCAACUAAAAAUCAAUCAGUGAGACAAUGGCUGGAACUGGAACCAAUGAUAUUAAAAUUAAAGGGUUCGAUGUGAGCAACAACAGCGGCAACACGUCGGGAUUAACCCACUUCGCCAACAGAGCUGCCGAGGGCGACAAGGGCGACAAUAAAAUCGAGGUUGAGGAUGCUAAAGGGCAAGGGAACACGGGAAACUUGAAAGUACUGACCGACUUCGCCCAACGCGGUAAAGUGGGCCAGUCGGAUCGCCAAGAACUUGUCAAACCUCAGGCAUGAAAUUGAAGAAGGCCAUACCAUAACCACUUGUCUGCUUGAUAGAUAUAUGUGCUAAAUUAUCUACACAAAAAUAAGAGCUGAUGUUUUAUCUGAGGCUCCUUCCUUGGUUAGGCCUCGUUAUCAUGUGUAAUAUUAAUAUUAUUAUUCUAAUAAAAUAAUGGUAGCUUAUUAUUAAAUAUACCCAAAUACUAUACGUAUAACUUUUAGAUUAUUGAUACUGGUGUCAACAAGAGAAAAUGAUUAAAAAGUCCUUUCUCGCAUUCGUGAUGUUAGAA
RNAcentral lists this long non-coding RNA (6620 nucleotides) under Prunus persica (peach). Its description in RNAcentral is "long non-coding RNA (PPER_LNC001538)". The record is from RNAcentral. Lineage: Eukaryota; Viridiplantae; Streptophyta; Magnoliopsida; Rosales; Rosaceae.